RNA transcript from Aethalodelphis obliquidens (Pacific white-sided dolphin), 2801 nucleotides. It is a transcript of the gene named solute carrier family 10 member 6, with no coding region annotated. Lineage: Eukaryota; Metazoa; Chordata; Mammalia; Artiodactyla; Delphinidae. The record is from RefSeq and is a predicted model, not a curated record. The transcript is spliced from 10 exons.
CCCAGCCAUCGCGGCAGAUGUUCAUUUGUAAUGCUGCCUUAAGGAAUAAGGAGAUGAGAGCAAAUUGUUCCAGCAGCUCAGCCUGCCCUGCCAACAGUUCAGAGGAGGAGUUGCCAGUGGGGCUGGAGGUCUAUGGGAACCUGGAACUUGUUUUCACAGUGGUGUCAGCCGUGAUGACCGGCCUGCUCAUGUUCUCCUUGGGAUGCUCUGUGGAGAUCCGGAGGCUCUGGUCGCACAUCAGGAGACCCUGGGGCAUUGCUGUGGGACUGCUCUGCCAGUUUGGGCUCAUGCCUCUUACUGCCUAUCUCCUGGUCAUCAGCUUCUCUCUGAAGCCAGUCCAAGCUAUGGCUAUCCUCAUCAUGGGGUGCUGCCCAGGGGGAACCAUCUCUAACAUUUUCACCUACUGGGUUGAUGGAGAUAUGGAUCUCAGCAUCAGUAUGACAACUUGUUCCACAGUGGUUGCCCUGGGAAUGAUGCCACUCUGCCUUUACCUCUACACCUUGUCCUGGAAUCUUGAGCAGAAUCUCACCAUUCCAUAUCAGAACAUAGGAAUUACCCUUGUGUGCCUGACCAUUCCUGUGGCCUUUGGUGUCUAUGUGAAUUAUAGGUGGCCAAAACAAUCCAAAAUUAUUCUUAAGGUUGGAGCCAUUGUUGGUGGGGUCCUCCUUUUGGUGGUUGCAGUUGCUGGUGUGGUGCUGGCGAAAGGAUCUUGGAAUUCAGAUAUCAUUCUUCUGACCAUCAGCUUCAUCUUUCCUUUGAUUGGCCAUGUCACAGGCUUUCUCCUGGCACUUCUUACCCACCAAUCUUGGCAGAGUUGCAGGACGAUUUCCUUAGAAACUGGAGCUCAGAAUAUUCAGAUGUGCAUCACCAUGCUGCACCUAUCUUUCACUGCCGAGCAAUUAGUCCAGAUGCUUAGCUUCCCAUUGGCCUAUGGACUCUUCCAGCUGUUGGAUGGGAUUCUCAUUGUUGCAGUGAAGAGUGAUCCCCAUUGUUACGUGAAGUCAUCAAACUGUGAAUUUUAACCUCACAAGAGUUAGAACUCUGUGUAGAGGAGAUGUCACCUCAUACUGCAGGGCAAGGACAGAGUCUGGACCCACUUGACUUCUCGACUUUGGAUAUGAAAUGCCACCUUCAUCACAUAACUUCCUAUAUAAUGUGUUUUUGUUGGACUCCAUUUGGUUCCAUUUUUUCUAUUUGUAAAUUUUGGAGUGUGAGAAAGUGUAUUGUCUGAGAUUUAGUGCUUUACAAUUUUAUUUUGUACCCUGAAUUAUGUAAAAUGGGAACACAUUGUCCACGAUCAAGACAUCUGACUGAAGGACUGAUUUGGGAGAAACAGACUAUUUCAUUUGUCCUACUUAAAUUAUCAUGAGAGUGUGAAGAGCAAGACAUAACUGUUUUUAGCAAAUUCUUCAAGAGGUUGAAGGAGUCAUCUUGGGGAUGGAGAAAGUGGUGGUUUGUUUCCACCCUUCCACUUGGAUGCAUGAUUACAACUGUGUAAGUAGAGCUCUCUUUUGUUUUUUUUAACAGCUGUCUACUAUUGUACUGUAUGAAUGAUUCUUCAUUUAAUUACAGAAGUCCCUACUGAUGGACAUCAGUCUUUCACUACAAUUGGGGGUGAAAAGGACACUCCGGUAUCUGGGCACUCACUUAAUGUAAUAAAACUCAGUACAAGUUCUCAUUAUUCUAGGGGUGCACAGCAGAUGCCAUCUCUCGGGUAAGGUGGGUGGCUAGAAAAGAGAAACUAGGUAGAAGAAUAACAUUUAGCGAUUAGAUGAGAUGAAAAAGGAUAAUGCAAAGGCCUGAAUACAUUUUAAACUUUCUGAUACUCAGGGGAACAAAGCAGAGUACAUUUUGUCUGAUGACAUUAUUAUACACCAUUAAAGCAGGACAUGCACUAAUGCUCCCAAAACAUUGUAACAGGACAGCAAUUAUGCUGCUUUUAUGGUGGAUGCUUUCCUCUGCUCCAACUAAUUGUACAUCACAGUUAACAUGUAAUUUGCAAGUUCUGCAUCCAUGAGGUCUUCUUGGUCUUCUAGCAAGUAUGCUUUGUUUGGAAGGAUAUGUUUUGGAGAUCCUCCCAUAAGGAUCCUCCCUUCUUUCUCAUUCUUUUGAACAGCUGCUUAGUAUUUCAUUGUAUGAGUACACCCUAAUUUAUUUUGUGUCUAUUAGGGUUUUUUACUACUAUAAACAAUGUUGCAAUAAAUAUUCUUAUAGAAACAUCUGCAUACAUAUGGUAGUAGGAUCAAUUCUUAGAAAUAAAAUUGCUAGGUUGAAGGGAAUGUACUACAGUUCUUUGAACCUGUGACACGUAUCAUUGUAAGAUACACUAUUCUGAAUUAGGUCACAAUGAGAGAUACUUGGACUACCUAUGUGCCAAACACCUGGAACAGCUGGCUGGGUUGUGGGUUCAUAGACCCUGUCUUCACCCCCCAGUGACCCUGACCAGCCACAGGUUGUGAAGUCUCAGGGGGCCAUUCCUGCAGUGGGGCCUGUGGUUGAUACAUGGACUUCCUUGUCCCCAAGCAAAUCUCUAGGAGGUUAGAACCCAGAGUUGACUAAGUCUCUCCUUGAAACCGGGUCACAACCAUGGCUUAGGAGGGGCAGAGAGGGGAGACAGAGUGAAUAAUAAAGCAGUGAGGGCCACCAUAAACUUCGCAGGAGUUCCUUCAAAGGCAUUUCUGUUACCCGUACCCUUCUGAGAUCUACAUGUCCUUCGAGUUCCUUCGAGGCUGUUUUUGUCUGUUUUGUGGCCUUUUUCCCCUUCAUCGUUAUUUAAAAAAUAAAAUAGUUUAUAUAUACGU